UACGUAGGGGGCUAGCGUUGUCCGGAUUUAUUGGGCGUAAAGAGCGUGUAGGCGGCCGAGUAAGUCCGGUGUGAAAACUCGAGGCUUAACCUCGAGAUGUCAUCGGAAACUACUCGGCUAGAGUCCGGAAGAGGAGAGUGGAAUUCCUGGUGUAGCGGUGAAAUGCGCAGAUAUCAGGAAGAACACCUAUGGCGAAAGCAGCUCUCUGGGACGGUACUGACGCUGAGACGCGAAAGCGUGGGGAGCGAACAGG
Molecule: ribosomal RNA, 253 nt
Filed under: uncultured bacterium
Lineage: Bacteria
Description: partial 16S ribosomal RNA
Rfam family: Bacterial small subunit ribosomal RNA
Source: RNAcentral